RNA transcript from Pseudomyrmex gracilis, 3086 nucleotides. It is a transcript of the gene named thioredoxin domain-containing protein 12-like, with no coding region annotated. Lineage: Eukaryota; Metazoa; Arthropoda; Insecta; Hymenoptera; Formicidae. The transcript is spliced from 4 exons. The record is from RefSeq and is a predicted model, not a curated record.
UUUGGACAUUAAACAUGUAGUACAACCAAGUGUCAUUCUCGAUACGUGAAAAUUUACAAAUUAUGCGUUACGCCAAAUGUCUCAGUUCGUUCACCAAAUUUCGGAGCUUCGCCGCUUUGACAUGUUACUUAUUCGGAAACGUAAUCGCGGCCGACGUCAACGAUUCGAAUCACAGCUUCGGGCACUUGUACAAAUGGAGAAACGCGCGAGAAGGCUUCGAAGAAGCUAAAAUCAGCCGAAAGCCGAUAUUUCUUCUGGUUCACAGACCGGGCUGUCCCACGUGCGAGCAAUUGAAGCCCAAAUUCACGAAUUCCGUCCGAAUUCUCGAUCUCAGCCAACACUUCGUUAUGGUGGAUGUGAGAAAAGGUGAAGAUCUCGCGGAAGAUGAAGCGAGAUUUCAACCGGACGGAACUUACGUUCCGCGAAUUCUCUUCUUCACUCCGGACGGCGAGUUUAUGGAGGACGUUUACAAUCGUCAUCCGAAAGCCGACAAUGAAUACAAGUACUUCUACAGCAGCACGAGUCAAAUAAUAGAUAGCAUGAUUUUGGCUUUGGAACGUCUCAAGGAGUCCAAAGGACUGUAUAAACCGAAAAAACUGACAAAGUCCGGAAAGGAUAAUCGACUUAUCGAAUAAAAACAGAUACCAACAGAAUUGAACCUUGCAUUUGAGUCUGCGCUGAUGUACGAUAUAUAUUAUCAGAUUCGGCGCUACGUCCAAUAUGCAGGGACCUAUAAGCGAGCUCGCAGAGAUGUAAGCUAGACAGCGCUUGCGUUUGCAACAGUUGCCAGAUGGCAAACCGGAUUCGCAUUGGCCGACGAGAUCGCAACAGAGAGGAACUCGUCGUAACCAACCCCCUCGUAACCACGCCCAUUUCGUUCCUCCCGUUCAUGGAACAUGCGACUAUUAUCCUUCAUACGCAACAUAAAAUUGAACGAAAAGUAAAACCGAUCCGAGCACCUAACGGUCCAAGAGCAUCGAAACGACAACGACGACGACGAUGGCGGUGGCGGCGGCGGCGGCGAAUAACUUUACGCUAGCGAUUUCGCAGGACAAGCGGGAGAGAGCUUACGCACACGUUAUACGUUAUGUAUGGAUCUCUCUCUCUCCGCGGACGCGGUUCUGUGUUUGAAGGGUUGCGGAUAAUAUAUAGCCCGUUUCGGCGGAGAGUGCUUUUUAGCUUUGACCGUUUCACAUCCGGCCGUAGACCGACCGACCGGACCGGGGCUAUUGCGGCCCGUAAUAUCGCACCAGCUCUCCGCGCACAUAUCUAUAUCUCCGCGCGCGUCCGUCACUUUUUUUUUUCCCCGCAGAGUCCUGACCACCACCCCAGGAUUCGCAGGCUUUAAAAAAUGCGCCGGGGACAUUAUUUCUGCCCUCGCCCCCUCCUCGCAACUCUCCUGGCACAGACUGACCGAUCCAGUCGCCCGCUAUCUCUUUCUCUCUCUCUCUCUCUCACUCUCUCCCUCUCUACCUCCCGUCGUUUCCACCCAACGUCGUUUCCGCCGGCGCAGCUUGCAAUGUGCCGCAUCAGCGAAUGUGCAAAAAUGAAGAGAGAGGACUCGCCAGGGGGGAGGUGUAACGAGGGGUGUCGAGAGAUCGAGAGAUCGCCGAGAGUGGGAGAGAGAGAAGGAAGGAAGAGAAGAAGAAUUAUAUAUCUCUCUCAUGUCUCUCCCUCGUCCGUUCGUUCGGUCGGUCGUUUCGGCUCGGAUAUGCUAGGCGGGUAGAUAUAUCGGAAAAGCCAGGGAGCCAUUUUCAAUUCAAUCUGUUAAAAGCACGUCAAAAAGUCAUACGGUAUUUCACCGGCGCGGUAGAUCGCGACGAGAUAUCGCGCGAGCUUCAACGCAACUCCCUCCCCCCCGCGCCCGACCUUUCCCCCCACUGGAAGCGGGCUUGAAUGGAGUAGAGCGAUAUAUGGAUUCACAUGAGUGUGUGCACCGACAUGUGCCAGUGUCAUCUAAGGAUGUGCGAGAUUAACGGACAAUCGUCAUCGUCUUGGAUAUUUUAUAUAUGUAAUUUUUACAUGCAACACAAUCUCUCUUCUUCCCGUAGUUCAAAAAAAUUUACAUUUUACAACCUUCCGUUGAUCACCCAAGUUACUCGAGCAAAUUUCGUAUCUCGAAUUGUGAGAGAGAAACCCCCACAUGAGGGGGUUUACAUACACUUUGUGUUAAACACAAAGUAAAACAGCAUUGUAUUUUAUCUCGCAACGCGCAACAGGCAAGUAUAUUUUCACGUAACACUAUUGGGAGAGAGAUUUUACGUGAGAUAAUCUCUUCCAAUCGAGCGAUUAUUGUAUUGCCAUUGAACAAACAGGUUACACUACGAGUUCUUCGAUGUUGCAGGAAGAAGAAAAGCUAUGGGAACCGCGUUAGGUGCAAGCACCUACUUUACCUGUGAUUUCUUUGUGCGGCUUUGACGUGGCGACUAUAAUCUAAUCUCGCUUAUCCGAUCGCGACACGAUUCAAUUCAAUCGGCCCGUGUGCGGUGCCAACUCCGGGGUCAACUCGACGUUUGCAAACAUCGUAAUUCGAUAUAUUGCCGCGAUCUCGAUCGCUCUAUUUACCUCGAGGGAGAUUACAACGCACAGCUCGAGGGAGAGAUCUCGAGUGCGUGGGCGAACAAUGGGCGUCGUCGAGCCACUCGACAUCAAAGAUAAAUCGGAUACUUUUGGAAACAUUUCACGAGCGCAAGAAUUAUGAAAACCCGCGAGAUAAAGAGAGAUCGAUCGAUUUUUUGCACACGUACUCUCUUCAAGUAGCACGGGAGAGAAAAAUUUAUGAAAUGUGUAAAAAACAAACGUAAAAAGUCACGUUUUCAUCAACUUUCGCGAAGAGAGAUUGAUUCGAUCGUGUACGAUCUAAACCCGAAAAAGAAAGUGCUAUCGAAUCUCUGUAAUUGCGUGAUGGAUAUUUCCAUCUGCUUCAAAACUUUUUCAAUUUCGUGUUUUUUGAUAUCGUGUGCAAAAAAAUUACGCGAUACUUUAUAAAAGCGGGCAUGUAUUGGCGUACCUAUUGGUUUAUUGAUUUCCCCAUCAGUGCAUACAUUCGCUUUGAGUGACCGAGGAGUAAAAAAAAGGUCCGUGCU